GCAAGUCGAGGGGUAACAGGAAAAAGCUUGCUUUUUCGCUGACGACCGGCGCACGGGUGCGUAACGCGUAUACAAUCUACCUUUUGCUGAGGGAUAGCCCAGAGAAAUUUGGAUUAAGACCUCAUGGUAUCAUAUUAUCUCCUGAUAAAAUGAUUAAAGGUUACGGCAAAAGAUGAGUAUGCGUCCUAUUAGCUAGAUGGUAAGGUAACGGCUUACCAUGGCAACGAUAGGUAGGGGCCCUGAGAGGGGGAUC
RNAcentral lists this ribosomal RNA (253 nucleotides) under uncultured bacterium. RNAcentral's name for it is "partial 16S ribosomal RNA". It matches the Rfam family "Bacterial small subunit ribosomal RNA", at positions 57 to 305 of the family's 1533-position model. The record is from RNAcentral.